UAUUAAAAAUGUCAUCUAUUUCUACAGUUACAUGUGACAUGCCACGUAUAUCUCAUUUUGACAUACAAUGACCAAUUUUUAACAGUAGAAACGGAUGAACUUUUUAACA
This 109-nucleotide microRNA precursor is filed under the name Gossypium hirsutum (cotton). Its description in RNAcentral is "MIR7502 microRNA precursor family". It matches the Rfam family "MIR7502 microRNA precursor family". Lineage: Eukaryota; Viridiplantae; Streptophyta; Magnoliopsida; Malvales; Malvaceae. The record is from Rfam by way of RNAcentral.